RNAcentral lists this microRNA precursor (148 nucleotides) under Paramuricea clavata. Lineage: Eukaryota; Metazoa; Cnidaria; Anthozoa; Malacalcyonacea; Plexauridae. The record is from RNAcentral.
UGCUUCAUUCCUCAAAAUUCUUUCGAUUUUGUGUGAAGCCGGACCAAUGUAUGGUAGACAAACAGACGACUGAUAUUCUACUUAUUCUGUUUGUCUACCAUACAUUGGUCCGGCUUCACACAAAAUCGAAAGAAUUUUGAGGAAUGAA